This is a long non-coding RNA of Cydia fagiglandana, 723 nucleotides long. RefSeq lists it as uncharacterized. The record is from RefSeq and is a predicted model, not a curated record. The transcript has 4 exons. NCBI's taxonomy places the organism in Eukaryota, Metazoa, Arthropoda, Insecta, Lepidoptera, Tortricidae.
AGCGGGCUUUACAGUGGUUUCUGCUGGAAGUGUCUCAGGACAAAAACGCAAACUAGGAGGUAAAAGAUAAAAAUAAUACUUUAAUUAUAUUUUUAUUUUUUGACUUUCGUUUGAAUUGAAUAUAACGUAAUUUUACAACCUUGUUUAAGGUGAAGAUGAUGAUUCCACAAAUUCAAAACGAAAUAAGGGUUAUGACCCAAACAGUGUGCCAUCGACCUCAACUUACGAGAUUUCUGAUAAAAUGACACCACAUCAUUCAGAAAUAGUAGUUUCUGCUGGAGGAGUCUCAGGACAAAAACGCAAACUAGAAGGUGAAGAUGAUGAUUCCCCAAGUUCAAAGCGAAAUAAGGGUUAUGAUCCAAAGAACGUGCCAUCGACUUCAACAUACGAGAUUUCUGAUAAAAGUACACCAGGCAUAUAAUUACUUGCGGCAAUGACGGAGAUGUUCGAAUAUGGGUUGACAUAAAAGACGACGAUCGUAACUCCCAUUGCGUUGGAGAGAGCGCGACAGCGGUGUGUUUUAAAGACAAGAGGCUGUAUGUGGCUACUGAUAAUCAUGCUGUACAAGCUUACACAUUCCCGGCUUUCGACAAAGACGGUAUUGUCACUAGAUUUACUGCAUCGGUAACACAAAUUAUGACAAGCACUAAAAGUGAGGUGAGUUGCACUACAAAUUUCCUGUGAUUAUUUGAAUUGUAAAGAUCUUUAUAUGUAAACCAGGGA